GGGUUAUUUGUAGCUCGAGUAAAAAUAUCCUACCAAAUCAGGAUAUAGACUGGGUUCCUUAUAUAUUUAAAAGAAUCUUAAUAUAUUUUUAUUAUACAAGACUUUCUAUCCUAUUACCGGUUACUGUAACUUUUUCGGAUACAAACUUAAAUAGUCGUUAUGAAUUUCUUGUAUAAAAAUAUCGUGUGCAAGGCGGUAUGUAUAGAGGCUUGACGUCGAACGAUUAUAUCUAAUUCAACUGGUGCAGUAUUUUGAUCACUAGUCAAACAAACGUUGAAAAUGAAUAAAAAUCUACUGAUGGUGCUGGGAGUUCUUUUCACUGUAUUGCUGUUUACCGGUUCAGUCGUGGAGGGUACUCAACCUCUUAACUAUAACUUUAACAGAUUCAGGACAGGCCGUGGUAAUAACUUCGGUGGCAAUCGACGAUAUCGCUACGGCUUCAAUCGAGGUUUUGGUGGAUUCAAUCGGGGUUUUGGUGGA
Molecule: long non-coding RNA, 480 nt
Organism: Mytilus trossulus (common blue mussel)
Lineage: Eukaryota; Metazoa; Mollusca; Bivalvia; Mytilida; Mytilidae
Exons: 3
Source: RefSeq, a predicted model, not a curated record